RNAcentral lists this ribosomal RNA (498 nucleotides) under uncultured bacterium. RNAcentral's name for it is "partial 16S ribosomal RNA". It matches the Rfam family "Bacterial small subunit ribosomal RNA", at positions 899 to 1397 of the family's 1533-position model. The record is from RNAcentral.
ACUCAAAUGAAUUGACGGGGGCCCGCACAAGCGGUGGAGCAUGUGGUUUAAUUCGACGCAACGCGAAGAACCUUACCUGGGCUCGAAAUGCAGCUGACCGUGGUGGAAACAUCGCUUACCCGCAAGGGACGGCUGUAUAGGUGCUGCAUGGCUGUCGUCAGCUCGUGUCGUGAGAUGUUGGGUUAAGUCCCGCAACGAGCGCAACCCUUAUCCCCAGUUGCCAUCAUUCAGUUGGGCACUCUGGUGAAACCGCCUCGGAUAACGGGGAGGAAGGUGGGGAUGACGUCAAGUCCUCAUGGCCUUUAUGUCCAGGGCUACACACGUGCUACAAUGGCCGGUACAAACCGUUGCAAACCCGUGAGGGGGAGCUAAUCGGAGAAAGCCGGCCUCAGUUCGGAUUACAGUCUGCAACUCGACUGUAUGAAGCUGGAAUCGCUAGUAAUCGCGGAUCAGAACGCCGCGGUGAAUACGUUCCCGGGCCUUGUACACACCGCCCGU